GAUGAACGCUGGCGGCGUGCUUAACACAUGCAAGUCGAACGAUGAAGCCCAGCUUGCUGGGUGGAUUAGUGGCGAACGGGUGAGUAACACGUGAGUAACCUGCCCUUGACUCUGGGAUAAGCCUGGGAAACUGGGUCUAAUACUUGAUAUGACUUCUCAUCGCAUGGUGGGGGGUGGAAAGAUUUAUUGGUCUUGGAUGGACUCGCGGCCUAUCAGCUUGUUGGUGAGGUAAUGGCUCACCAAGGCGACGACGGGUAGCCGGCCUGAGAGGGUGACCGGCCACACUGGGACUGAGAGACGGCCCAGACUCCUACGGGAGGCAGCAGUGGGGAAUAUUGCACAAUGGGCGCAAGCCUGAUGCAGCGACGCCGCGUGAGGGAUGACGGCCUUCGGGUUGUAAACCUCUUUCAGUAGGGAAGAAGCGAGAGUGACGGUACCUGCAGAAGAAGCGCCGGCUAACUACGUG
RNAcentral lists this ribosomal RNA (466 nucleotides) under uncultured bacterium. RNAcentral describes it as "partial 16S ribosomal RNA". It matches the Rfam family "Bacterial small subunit ribosomal RNA", at positions 28 to 507 of the family's 1533-position model. The record is from RNAcentral.